GUGCUGAGUGCUUCCAGCAGCAUAGGCACACAAAAGCGCAAACAUGCCUACCGCAGUGCAAACUGAGAGAGCAUAACUUCGUAUGGCUGGCCUGUACAGGUUCGGAUUCACAAGGAGUAUAAUUAGGGCAAUCGAUGACAUGAAGCUCAUUGAAUUGCAGUAGAAGAAAGCCUUAUAACGGCGUGGAUAGUUGUAAAAGAGGACAGGGUCACCUGCAUGGUGCCCAAACUCAUCAUCCAUCAGCCAAAAUCCGCCUGGUGGGGUCAACCCAGCUUGGUAAGUAAGUGUCACACACAAGACAGCAAAAAGGAGCAACCUCUUGCGUCUCUUGUCCUCAAGUUUCCGGUCCUUCUCCCUGCCUUCCUUUCGUAUGUCUUCAUCUUCGAGCGUGACAAACAGAACAUGAAUAACCACAUAGAUUAGGACAGCUCCAGCCAAGGCAAUGACAUAAAUGGAUGUGGUUACAUCUCGGCAGCUCCCAGAAGAGUAUGCACCAAUGAGGCCAAACAGAUCCAAUAUCAUGGCAAACUGGAGUACGCGGAGCUUGAGUAUAGGCUUAUACUGGACCAAGAUGAUGAUGACCAAGGACGCUGCGAAGGCUAUUGAGUUGCAGUAAAAGAAUACCCUGUAACGUUCUGGUUGCAUGGAUAGGAGUAUUGAAUCGCCAGCCUCAUGUCCGUUCCAGUUGUCCUGCCAAACACCACCAGGAGGGACCAGUCCUGCUUGGUAUGCGACGGUUGCUACAAGGGUUGAAAGCAGUACAACAAGAGAUUGAGCCUUAUCCAUAAAAUCUGCAUUUCUUGUGUUCUUCUGUGCUCCAGCAUUGCUUGUCUUCGUCUCUUCACCACCAUUGGUUGUGGUUGGCUGUGCUCUAGCAUUGCUUGAGACAGACUCUGCACCACCAUUGCUUGAGACAGACUCUGCACCACCAUUGCUUGAGAGAGACUCUGCACCACCAUUGCUUGUGUUUAUCUGUGCUCUACAAUUGCCUGUGCUCGUCUGUUCUUCAACAUUGUUUGACCUGGUGAUUCAUGAGCCAUUGAGCAUGCAAAUUUAAGAUGGAAUUACAGAUGGCAAUAAUAUUUGGAAGCAGAAAAAGCAUUCAAUACCUGUCAUUUGAAUAUGUCUGACAGGAUAUAAUCGCCUUGAGGACAAUAAUGCAUGCAAGAACGGCAAGAACCAGACUGCCCACAUAGAUGGUAGUGUCACAUUCUCGGCUGCUUCCGGUGGCAUAGGCCCCCGCAAGACCGACAAAAGCGAUAAAGAUGUAUGCUUUGAGCACAAAGGUCCGUACUGGGCUGGUUUUGUUCUGAUUCUUGCCCUUGAGUAGUGGGAUGACGAGCUGCUUGUCUAAGAGCAGCAUAAUGAUGAGCAGGGACAUGACAAAUGCAAUAGCAUUAAAGGUGAAGAAUGCCUUCAGGCGGAUAGAAUGGUGUUCCCGCAUGACUGGGUCACCUGCAAUGUGGCCCUCCUUGCUGCUGUCCCAGUAGCCACCAGGCGCGCUCAACCCAGCCAGGUAUGUGAUGCUCAUCACAAAUGUAGCAAGAAGUAGCAGGAGCUUGCGGCGUCGCUCUUUUUCCUCCUCUUUGUUUAUCUCCCCUUUGCCAUCAGCUGAUUCCAGUUGCCCCUUUGCUUCCUUCUUUUUGCUAUCACCUGGUUGUGAUUAUCCUGUUGCUGUUAGGAACAGUUUAUGAUCUCUGUCAAAUGUGCAUUAGAGGCAUUACCUGUGCAUCUGAACAAUUGUGAUUUCUCAGAGAAUGAAGUCAGCACAACUUGAACAGCCAUAUAGACAAAAAUGGCGACUAACACGCAGGCAUUCUUGGCUUUUAGCACACCCCGGCUGGUCCCAGCAGCAUAGGCCCCCACGAGGCCAAGCAGAUCCAGCAUCAUGGCCACCCGCAGUGGGAUCAUGGAGAUCCAUAGCUCUUCCUUCUCGUGUACGACGGCAAGGAUGAGGAUGAGGAUGAUGACCACAAUGGACAAAGCAAAUGCAGCCGCAUUGCAGUAGAAGAAAACAAGGUACCGGGGAUAGUACGUAUCUCGGAUGAUGGACUCACCGGCGAGGUGCCCGGCCUCGGUAUUCUGCCAGACACCCCCCGGCGGGUUGAACCCCGCAGCAUAUGUCACCGUGGCCACCAUAAUGGCCAGCAGCAAGAGCUGGGGAGCAAUGACAGAAAGGAGGUGCCUCAAGGCGUCAAUGACUCUAUGCCAAGCAGGUGCUUCACCAUGCAUACAUUAGCUUAAUGGAGGCUGGCCAUGGGCAGACCUUUCUUCCAAUCCUUGUCAGUUUUAAAAGUGUAGUUGUUUUUUUUUAAGGAAACAAGUGAUGUUGAUUCGAGCUCAUCUUGUUUAUUCCUUUUUAUC
Molecule: small RNA, 2364 nt
Filed under: Oryza sativa Japonica Group (Japanese rice)
Lineage: Eukaryota; Viridiplantae; Streptophyta; Magnoliopsida; Poales; Poaceae
Description: misc RNA Os06g0295500
Source: RNAcentral